AAUCCACCAAUUUGUACGUCACUCUGGAUAAGAGCGUCUGCUAAAUGACUUAAA
This is a non-coding RNA of Salmo salar (Atlantic salmon), 54 nucleotides long. The record is from Rfam. Lineage: Eukaryota; Metazoa; Chordata; Actinopteri; Salmoniformes; Salmonidae.